Molecule: long non-coding RNA, 1413 nt
Organism: Phyllostomus discolor (pale spear-nosed bat)
Lineage: Eukaryota; Metazoa; Chordata; Mammalia; Chiroptera; Phyllostomidae
Exons: 2
Source: RefSeq, a predicted model, not a curated record
UUUUUGUUCAGCUGUAUUCUGUAACUUUUCUACAUGAAUAUGUGUAAUAAAAUUUUAAAAAUCAAAGCCAGAUACUGCAUUGUGAAAGUUGUUAAUUGAUUAAUAUUUUUGGCUUUUGAUAAUAUAGCAAAUACUUAAUACUAAUAGCCAAUAAAAUCUUUUAAAUUGAAUGUUAAUUACUUUAAUCAAUAGCAGAAAAACAUGGAAUUUAAUUAUAAGGUUAAAAAGGAAACAGAACAAUAUCCAGGUACUUACUGGUUCUCUGCAGAUGGAGACUCAGUUGUUUUGUGUUCAUGGCCCUGUAGACAGCUAUCUUACGUUAUCCAGUUCAAAGCAAAGCACAGUCUGGUUGACAAAACAGAAAGUCUAUGAGUCACACUACAGGCAAAAUCAGAGAUAUAUGUGGGCUUGCUUCUAGACCACCGUUAAUAAAGCAAGUAUAGUGAUAAAGCCAGCCGUAACCUUUGCUGGUGGAGGGUCUUGCCUUCCACUUGUGAAAUACAAUAUCUCUGAAGCGUAAUAAAGUGAAGCACAAUCAAACAAGCUAAGCCUGUAUUACUUUUACCAACAGCACCAAAUGGUCUCUAAAAGUGAAUAAACUUGGUAUGGGGAAAGAAAAGGGGUAUCUUUCCAAACUACAUCAUGUUUGCCAUUCCUUGGUGAGACUCCUGUGUAGGAGCAAUGCUACACAGUGUGGUAGAAUGGAGGCAGGAAAAAGUACAGAGGUUGAGAACUGUCUCUAUUGGGAGCUUUGUUUGAUUUGCCAGAGGACGAGCACGUCGGAACAGAGAGAAGUACUUUCCUCCUGCAGCGGCCAUCUGCACUGUUUGCAGACAGAGCAUCACUGCAGCCGCAGAGGACACAUGUCUACAGGGUUCAGCUCUAGUGUCACAAAGCAAGUCCGUGAAGGGUGGAUUUGGAGCUGAGAAGAAAUAAACUGAUAACUGGAACAUGUACCAGAAGGAAUUCUUUUAAAUUAAGGGUUCUAAUUCAGUUCUGGUGAAUCAAAGUUUUAUGAUGCCAAGGUUUGACCACACUGAAGAAUGUACACAUCAUGGUACCCAGGAGCCCUGGCCAGGUGGCUCAGUUGGUUGGAGCAUAAUCACAUGCACAAAAAGGUUGUGGGUUUGAUUUCCAGUUGGGGCUCACAUGGGAGGCAACUGAUCCAUGUUUCUCUCUUACAUCAAUGUCUCUCUUGCUUCUUUUUCCCUUCCUCUCUUUCUAAUAUCAGUAAAGCAUAUUCUUGGGUGAGGAUUAUAAAAAAAUUACCCAGGAAUUUGUAAAAAUGCAGGGCCCAUGGUCAGUAAGGCACUAUAUUAAUAGUAUAUGUUGUUGUUUACAUGUGAUUUUUAUGUCUUUGAUCCACUAUCAAUGGAAGGUAUACUUAGAGUCAUUUUCUUGAGAACAAAAGUG